RNAcentral lists this ribosomal RNA (338 nucleotides) under uncultured bacterium. RNAcentral's name for it is "bacterial SSU rRNA". It matches the Rfam family "Bacterial small subunit ribosomal RNA", at positions 187 to 507 of the family's 1533-position model. The record is from RNAcentral.
CGAAAGAGGUUGAGGUAAAAGUGGGCCUCUGUACACAAGCUCACGCCAGGGGAUGGGUCCGCGGCCCAUCAGCUAGUUGGUAGGGUACGGCCUACCAAGGCGAAGACGGGUAGCUGGUCUGAGAGGAUGAUCAGCCACACUGGAACUGAGACACGGUCCAGACUCCUACGGGAGGCAGCAGUGGGAAUCUUGCGCAAUGGACGAAAGUCUGACGCAGCGACGCCGCGUGAGUGAUGAAGGCCUUCGGGUUGUAAAGCUCUGUGGAGAGGGACGAAUAAGUGUCGUCGAAUAGACGGCAUGAUGACGGUACCUUUUAGCAAGCACCGGCUAACUCUGUG